Molecule: transfer RNA, 85 nt
Filed under: Bacillota bacterium
Lineage: Bacteria; Bacillati; Bacillota
Description: Firmicutes bacterium (anaerobic digester metagenome) tRNA-Leu
Rfam family: tRNA
About the family: Transfer RNA (tRNA) molecules are approximately 80 nucleotides in length. Their secondary structure includes four short double-helical elements and three loops (D, anti-codon, and T loops). Further hydrogen bonds mediate the characteristic L-shaped molecular structure. tRNAs have two regions of fundamental functional importance: the anti-codon, which is responsible for specific mRNA codon recognition, and the 3' end, to which the tRNAs corresponding amino acid is attached (by aminoacyl-tRNA synthetases). tRNAs cope with the degeneracy of the genetic code in two manners: having more than one tRNA (with a specific anti-codon) for a particular amino acid; and 'wobble' base-pairing, i.e. permitting non-standard base-pairing at the 3rd anti-codon position.
Source: RNAcentral
GUCGGGGUGGCGGAACAGGCAGACGCGCACGUUUGAGGGGCGUGUGGUUAAUACCAUGUGGGUUCAAGUCCCAUCCCCGACACCA